AUUGAACGCUGGCGGCAUGCCUUACACAUGCAAGUCGAACGGCAGCGGACCUUCGGGUGCCGGCGAGUGGCGAACGGGUGAGUAAUAUAUCGGAACGUACCUUUCAGUGGGGGAUAACGUAGCGAAAGUUACGCUAAUACCGCAUAUUCUGUGAGCAGGAAAGCAGGGGAUCGCAAGACCUUGCGCUGAUUGAGCGGCCGAUAUCAGAUUAGCUAGUUGGUGAGGUAAAGGCUCACCAAGGCGACGAUCUGUAGCGGGUCUGAGAGGAUGAUCCGCCACACUGGAACUGAGACACGGUCCAGACUCCUACGGGAGGCAGCAGUGGGGGAAUUUUGGACAAUGGGCGGCAAGCCUGAUCCAGCCAUGCCGCGUGAGUGAAGAAGGCC
Molecule: ribosomal RNA, 386 nt
Filed under: uncultured bacterium
Lineage: Bacteria
Description: bacterial SSU rRNA
Rfam family: Bacterial small subunit ribosomal RNA
Source: RNAcentral